GCUUUCUUAGUAUUAUUAAGUACCGCUGACUUCCAAUCAGCUAGACCCAGAUAAUCCUGGGAGAAAGUA
Molecule: transfer RNA, 69 nt
Filed under: Petaurista caniceps (gray-headed giant flying squirrel)
Lineage: Eukaryota; Metazoa; Chordata; Mammalia; Rodentia; Sciuridae
Description: Petaurista elegans caniceps tRNA-Gly
Source: RNAcentral